GAUGAACGCUGGCGGCGUGCCUAAUACAUGCAAGUCGAGCGAACAGACGAGGAGCUUGCUCCUCUGACGUUAGCGGCGGACGGGUGAGUAACACGUGGAUAACCUACCUAUAAGACUGGGAUAACUUCGGGAAACCGGAGCUAAUACCGGAUAAUAUAUUGAACCGCAUGGUUCAAUAGUGAAAGACGGUUUUGCUGUCACUUAUAGAUGGAUCCGCGCCGCAUUAGCUAGUUGGUAAGGUAACGGCUUACCAAGGCGACGAUGCGUAGCCGACCUGAGAGGGUGAUCGGCCACACUGGAACUGAGACACGGUCCAGACUCCUACGGGAGGCAGCAGGAGGGAAUCUUCCGCAAUGGGCGAAAGCUUGACGGAGCAACGCCGCGUGAGUGAUGAAGGUCUUCGGAUCGUAAAACUCUGUUAUUAGGGAAGAACAAAUGUGUAAGUAACUAUGCACGUCUUGACGGUACCUAAUCAGAAAGCCACGGCUAACUACGU
Molecule: ribosomal RNA, 496 nt
Filed under: uncultured bacterium
Lineage: Bacteria
Description: partial 16S ribosomal RNA
Rfam family: Bacterial small subunit ribosomal RNA
Source: RNAcentral